UACGGUCACAUUACAUAGAAACACCGGUUCUCUUACGAUCACCAAAGUUAAGCAACGUCGAGCCUGGUCAGUACCUAGAUGCGUGACGCCUUGGGAAUACCAGGUGCUGUAAG
This is a non-coding RNA of Acanthosepion pharaonis, 113 nucleotides long. NCBI's taxonomy places the organism in Eukaryota, Metazoa, Mollusca, Cephalopoda, Sepiida, Sepiidae. The record is from the annotation of a GenBank genome assembly.